Molecule: ribosomal RNA, 301 nt
Filed under: uncultured bacterium
Lineage: Bacteria
Description: partial 16S ribosomal RNA
Rfam family: Bacterial small subunit ribosomal RNA
Source: RNAcentral
CAGUAGCCGCGGGAAUACGGAGGGAGCUAGCGUUAUUCGGAAUUACUGGGCGUAAAGCGCACGUAGGCGGCUUUGUAAGUUAGAGGUGAAAGCCUGGAGCUCAACUCCAGAAUUGCCUUUAAGACUGCAUCGCUUGAAUCCAGGAGAGGUGAGUGGAAUUCCGAGUGUAGAGGUGAAAUUCGUAGAUAUUCGGAAGAACACCAGUGGCGAAGGCGGCUCACUGGACUGGUAUUGACGCUGAGGUGCGAAAGCGUGGGGAGCAAACAGGAUUAGAGACCCCAGUAGUCCCUGUCUCUUAUAC